UGAUAGGCUAGGUGGCAGGUCAGCCCUCUGCUGUAUCACAAACGGGCUUUAUGGUGAACUGAAGCUGGAGUCAGGUAGAGUCUCUAGUUAUCAGUCUCAAUCCGAACUAUGAGAUCCUGUCCUACAGGGUUAGUAUCUGUGUGAAUCUGGUCAGGUCGGGGACGAAGCAGCCAUCAUCAUAUUUAUUGGCGCUUGUAGUAAACAGGGUUAAGAAAGGAUUGAGGGUGCUGGUAAUUACUGAUUUUAUCGAGCUUCAGCAUGCCUGUCA
Molecule: signal recognition particle RNA, 268 nt
Filed under: Candidatus Woesearchaeota archaeon
Lineage: Archaea; Nanobdellati; Candidatus Woesearchaeota
Description: signal recognition particle sRNA
Rfam family: Archaeal signal recognition particle RNA
Source: RNAcentral